GACGAACCGUACAAACGUUAUUCGGAAUCACUGGGCUUAAAGGGUGCGUAGGCGGCCAGGUAAGUUGGGUGUGAAAUCCCUCGGCUCAACCGAGGAACUGCGCCCAAAACUACUUGGCUUGAGGGAGAUAGAGGUGAGCGGAACUUAGGGUGGAGCGGUGAAAUGCGUUGAUAUCCUAAGGAACACCGGUGGCGAAAGCGGCUCACUGGAUCUCUUCUGACGCUGAGGCACGAAAGCUAGGGUAGCGAACGGG
RNAcentral lists this ribosomal RNA (253 nucleotides) under uncultured bacterium. Its description in RNAcentral is "partial 16S ribosomal RNA". It matches the Rfam family "Bacterial small subunit ribosomal RNA", at positions 524 to 776 of the family's 1533-position model. The record is from RNAcentral.